AAUAGAUACCCGGGUAGUCCACGCCCUAAACGAUGUCUACUAGUUGUUGGGUCUUAAUUGACUUAGUAACGCAGCUAACGCGUGAAGUAGACCGCCUGGGGAGUACGGUCGCAAGAUUAAAACUCAAAGGAAUUGACGGGGACCCGCACAAGCGGUGGAUGAUGUGGAUUAAUUCGAUGCAACGCGAAAAACCUUACCUACCCUUGACAUGUCAGGAACCUCCGAGAGAUUGGAGGGUGCCCGAAAGGGAGCCUGAACACAGGUGCUGCAUGGCUGUCGUCAGCUCGUGUCGUGAGAUGUUGGGUUAAGUCCCGCAACGAGCGCAACCCUUGUCAUUAGUUGCUACGAAAGGGCACUCUAAUGAGACUGCCGGUGACAAACCGGAGGAAGGUGGGGAUGACGUCAAGUCCUCAUGGCCCUUAUGGGUAGGGCUUCACACGUCAUACAAUGGUACAUACAGAGGGCCGCCAACCCGCGAGGGGAGCUAAUCCCAGAAAGUGUAUCGUAGUCCGGAUUGUAGUCUGCAACUCGACUACA
This 537-nucleotide ribosomal RNA is filed under the name uncultured bacterium. Its description in RNAcentral is "bacterial SSU rRNA". It matches the Rfam family "Bacterial small subunit ribosomal RNA", at positions 777 to 1320 of the family's 1533-position model. The record is from RNAcentral.